UGCCUCUGAUGAAAAAUUUAACCAGUUCUGCUACUGAAUGUCAAGUGACGAUACCCUUCUUACCAUUUUCUGAGGC
Molecule: small nucleolar RNA, 76 nt
Organism: Sycon ciliatum
Lineage: Eukaryota; Metazoa; Porifera; Calcarea; Leucosolenida; Sycettidae
Source: RefSeq, a predicted model, not a curated record